GCUGCCCCCAGAGGCGUUGCAGGUGUGGCUGUCGCCGUGUCCCAUCUGUGUCAUCGGUGGCAGAGAGGAGCGGGGCUUGUCUACGUGGCGUCCCAGGUGGGGCGUCGCCGUGGUUCGCGGCCCGACAGC
Neogale vison (American mink) is the source of this 129-nucleotide small nucleolar RNA. Lineage: Eukaryota; Metazoa; Chordata; Mammalia; Carnivora; Mustelidae. The record is from Ensembl.